AGAGUUUGAUCCUGGCUCAGAACGAACGCUGGCGGCAGGCCUAACACAUGCAAGUCGAGCGGACCGUAAGGUCAGCGGCGGACGGGUUAGUAACGCGUGGGAACGUGCCCAAAGGUACGGAAUAGCCUCGGGAAACUGAGAGUAAUACCGUAUGUGCCCGAGAGGGGAAAGAUUUAUCGCCUUUGGAUCGGCCCGCGUUGGAUUAGGUAGUUGGUGGGGUAAUGGCCUACCAAGCCUACGAUCCAUAGCUGGUUUGAGAGGAUGAUCAGCAACACUGGGACUGAGACACGGCCCAGACUCCUACGGGAGGCAGCAGUGGGGAAUCUUAGACAAUGGGGGAAACCCUGAUCUAGCCAUGCCGCGUGGACGAUGAAGGCCUUAGGGUUGUAAAGUCCUUUCAGCUGGGAAGAUAAUGACGGUACCAGCAGAAGAAGCCCCGGCUAACUCCGUGCCAGCAGCCGCGGUAAU
RNAcentral lists this ribosomal RNA (468 nucleotides) under uncultured bacterium. Its description in RNAcentral is "bacterial SSU rRNA". It matches the Rfam family "Bacterial small subunit ribosomal RNA", at positions 8 to 524 of the family's 1533-position model. The record is from RNAcentral.